RNAcentral lists this ribosomal RNA (322 nucleotides) under uncultured eukaryote. Its description in RNAcentral is "partial 18S ribosomal RNA". It matches the Rfam family "Eukaryotic small subunit ribosomal RNA", at positions 1470 to 1796 of the family's 1831-position model. The record is from RNAcentral.
CCCUUAGAUGUUCUGGGCCGCACGCGUGCUACACUGAGUGGAUCAGCGGGUCAGGUUGCGCGAAAGCGUUUCCUAAUCUUUAAAUCCGCUCGUGAUGGGGAUUGACGGUUGCAAUUUUCUGUCAUGAACGAGGGAUACCUUGUAAGCGCGGGUCAUCAUCCCGCGCUGAAUACGUCCCUGCCCUUUGUACACACCGCCCGUCGCUCCUACCGAUUGAGUGGUCCGGUGAGGCUUUGGGAUCUGAGCGGAAAGAGCGUUUCGCCGUUUCUGCUCGGAAAACUCAGUCGAACCUUAUCAUUUAGAGGAAGGAGAAGUCGUAACA